AUGAAGAGUUCUACAAGGACUUUUGCUGUCCUUACCCACAUACACUGGGCGUUGUAUCGGCACAUGAAGGGCAGCGGCCAAAGGACAUGUGACAGCGCAGCGCUGGUAACUCACGGCGUGAUACCAGAAACCCCUCCGCAAGCCAUCCGCUGCGCUCGCACCGCUGCUCCCCGCGCUGUACUUUCCGGAUUUCGCCCAGCCCGGCUAACGUGGGACAGAUGGAAGUUCCGCUCAGCGUUCGGCCCUCGGGAAGGCAGCGCCGCGCCCGGAGGUGCGCUGUGACCUCGAGCAGCGCUCCGCGAACACCCGCUCCCAAAGCGGGAGAAAUGGGCUGUCAUUUGUUUCUGCACAUGAUGUCUUUUCGUACCUCACCCCUUUUCUCAGAUCAUUUGUCAAGGGUUCGCUGAUCUCUUCUUAUUAGUUACAGGGGCUACAACGAGACGGAACAAGAAUGUUUGACCGAGCAUAUAAUGUCAUGAGUCACGGGUUUAAUUUGGUCCCACCAGAAUCUCCGUGUGACCCCAAAACCUUCUAACAGCGCGGGGGCAAUCAGCAGAGGCUGCCGGCCAAACGCCGCGGACGGCGCUUCCCGGAGAGNNNNNNNNNNNNNNNNNNNNNNNNNNNNNNNNNNNNNNNNNNNNNNNNNNNNNNNNNNNNNNNNNNNNNNNNNNNNNNNNNNNNNNNNNNNNNNNNNNNNCGAGCGGUACGGAGCCCGAGCCUCGCUUCGGUGCGGCGAGAAGGAGAUCGCUUUGCUUGUUUCUGCUAAGCGCGAAGCACACCAAUAAUUAACAGGUUAAUCCUAACUGAUUUUUUAAAUCUAGGAAUAUUUUUAGGACGUUGCCCUUUGGGGAAAUAAAGGGAGUGUGCUAAUAGUGAAAAGUAUGUGUUUAUAUUUGGAGUAACAACAAUGCAGAAAUUAAAGAGAAUUAAGGAAGACAUCAAAAGUCCCCAUCCCAUUGCAGUUAUUAACUCCUCCGUUUCACUGCGUGCAGCCUUUCUGAGCGUGAGCAGCCCGAGAUGUGGCAUUGAAACGGACGGCUCCCUGAGCCCCUUCUAGCCGAGGCGGCCCCGCUGGCCGACAGGUAAAGCCCGCACAAAGGAUGAUUGUGCUCCCUCUAUAAAUACGGUUUGCUCAGGCACUCCCCGGGAGGGCCGGAGCAUUCAGCGCUGCCCUUUCUGCCGGUCCCGGGGAUGUACUGCUGCUGUGCUCCAUGCAUGCAUGCUGCCCCGGGACUCAGCUGCGAGGUUUUCAUUUUAAACAAGUUGUUAGAAGUUUGUUUGGCCUCGAAAUGCCCUAUGUGAUUUGAAGACGUUGAAAGGAAAAAAUGACUUACAUCUUUCUUGUGAAAUUGGAAUAUUAUUCUCAGCUUCCAAAAUAAAUGGAAAGUUUUAUUUUCUUACUGCCAUAGGGAGUGUGCUUUUAAAAAUGCAUUAUGGUUUUGAAUGUUUUCAGAUGCAAUUUGCAUUAUUUUGAAUGAGCCCCUUGAAUAGAGACAGAGUUUGCUAGAUAGUGACAUGUGUUAAGGAAGAUGUCCUCUCUGCUGGUGCUUUGGGACUGUGUAGAGAACCCCUAAACAGCUCUGAUAGGAGCAGGUAAUCUUCUCUUUCUUUGUUGGAAGAUCACACGGCAGUUUUCAUAGGAAGGUUUUCUUUUUAAGCAGCUGUUAAAUUCAGUGACUCUGAAUUUACUUAAUUUCUCUAUGCUAUCUACGCCUUAAUUUUGAAUAAACAUAUAUGAAUUACUACUUCUGCUUUGAUAUCUGUCAACUAAACCAAAUUCGUGUGCCAUUAUUUACAUGAAAUCUGAAGAGGUCAAAUCAGUUUACAGAGCACAUUGGUUGUUUUUCCAGUGGUGGAUCUUUUUUUCACUCUUUUAUAAAACUGUGAAACCACUUCCAAGACUCUUGAAAUCAAACCCAAAUCUUUCAGCACUGUAAGUUAUGGACAAGUGUACUCCAUACAGUGAACUCUGAUGAGCAGUAAUGUAUCUACAGAUCUCUUAAUUUAGAAUCUUAAGUUGGCUAUCAAAAAUAAAUGGUACUUCAGUUAAUUAUUUUUUCCCUAUUUUUUUUUCUUUGUUAUAAAAUAGUUCAUCUUUUCAAAGCCAAAAAAAGAAAAACAACAGAGCUUGCAGUGAGUACAAUACCAUCUCUGCACCUCUCAGAAUACGUUAAGCCUUGCUCUAUGUGCAAAGGUUUGAUAGCUAAGAUCUAUUAGAAUGAAGGUGGCAGUGUACUUUCAGAUUUCAAGGCAACGAAAGGGUUAACUCUAGAAAAAUUAAUUGUACCCAAUCCCAGAACAAUAGUAGCUGGGAGAUUGGAGGAGGGGUGAAUCACACAGCUGAGGGAGAGCCUGUUAGAUUGCAUGAGGAGGACUCUUGUUGCCUGCAGCCUGGCCAGCACUUCUCCCUACACAUGGAUUUCCAGGCUGCAGAGCCAAGGUACCAGCUAUGUCCAAGGGGAAUCUAACGAUGAAGGCAUUCUGCUCAAACGAGACAAUGAGAUGUGGUAUCUGCUUUUCAGCUUUCAUGAAUGGGAGUGUGGUCUCUUUUCCAAAAAUGAAACGAUUUGAAGCCAAAGGUGUUUCCACAAAAUGAAGAUCUCUGGUACCAACAGAUUUUUUGCUUUGGGCAGCUUAGGAUCUCUGGGUGCUGGCUGAAAGCAUGUCAGAGAAUUUAGACGUAUUGCUGGAUUUAAU
Molecule: long non-coding RNA, 2697 nt
Organism: Meleagris gallopavo (turkey)
Lineage: Eukaryota; Metazoa; Chordata; Aves; Galliformes; Phasianidae
Source: Ensembl